This 67-nucleotide transfer RNA is filed under the name Echyridella menziesii. RNAcentral describes it as "tRNA-Phe". It matches the Rfam family "tRNA". From Rfam's summary of the family: Transfer RNA (tRNA) molecules are approximately 80 nucleotides in length. The record is from RNAcentral. Lineage: Eukaryota; Metazoa; Mollusca; Bivalvia; Unionida; Hyriidae.
GGAUGAGUAGCUUAAUUUAUAAAGCAUAGUACUGAAACUGCUAAGUCUGGGUUAACCCACUCCCCCA